RNAcentral lists this ribosomal RNA (253 nucleotides) under uncultured bacterium. RNAcentral describes it as "partial 16S ribosomal RNA". It matches the Rfam family "Bacterial small subunit ribosomal RNA", at positions 524 to 776 of the family's 1533-position model. The record is from RNAcentral.
GACGUAGGGCGCGAGCGUUGUCCGGAAUUAUUGGGCGUAAAGAGCUCGUAGGCGGCUUGUCGCGUCGGCUGUGAAAUCCCGUGGCUCAACUGCGGGUCUGCAGCCGAUACGGGCAGGCUAGAGUUCGGUAGGGGAGACUGGAAUUCCUGGUGUAGCGGUGAAAUGCGCAGAUAUCAGGAGGAACACCGGUGGCGAAGGCGGGUCUCUGGGCCGAUAUUGACGCUGAGGAGCGAAAGCGUGGGGAGCGAACAGG